AGCGAACGCUGGCGGCAGGCUUAACACAUGCAAGUCGAGCGGGCGUAGCAAUACGUCAGCGGCAGACGGGUGAGUAACGCGUGGGAACGUACCUUUGGUUCGGAACAACUGAGGGAAACUUCAGCUAAUACCGGAUAAGCCCUUACGGGGAAAGAUUUAUCGCCGAAAGAUCGGCCCGCGUCUGAUUAGCUAGUUGGUGAGGUAACGGCUCACCAAGGCGACGAUCAGUAGCUGGUCUGAGAGGAUGAUCAGCCACAUUGGGACUGAGACACGGCCCAAACUCCUACGGGAGGCAGCAGUGGGGAAUAUUGGACAAUGGGCGAAAGCCUGAUCCAGCCAUGCCGCGUGAGUGAUGAAGGCCCUAGGGUUGUAAAGCUCUUUUGUGCGGGAAGAUAAUGACGGUACCGCAAGAAUAAGCCCCGGCUAACUUCGUGCCAGCAGCCGCGGUAAU
Molecule: ribosomal RNA, 451 nt
Filed under: uncultured bacterium
Lineage: Bacteria
Description: bacterial SSU rRNA
Rfam family: Bacterial small subunit ribosomal RNA
Source: RNAcentral